CGCGGUGCAUUAGCUAGUUGGUGAGGUAACGGCUCACCAAGGCCACGAUGCAUAGCCGACCUGAGAGGGUGAUCGGCCACAUUGGGACUGAGACACGGCCCAAACUCCUACGGGAGGCAGCAGUAGGGAAUCUUCGGCAAUGGACGAAAGUCUGACCGAGCAACGCCGCGUGAGUGAAGAAGGUUUUCGGAUCGUAAAACUCUGUUGUUAGAGAAGAACAAGGAUGAGAGUAACUGUUCAUCCCUUGACGGUAUCUAACCAGAAAGCCACGGCUAACUACGUGCCAGCAGCCGCGGUAAUACGUAGGUGGCAAGCGUUGUCCGGAUUUAUUGGGCGUAAAGCGAGCGCAGGCGGUUUCUUAAGUCUGAUGUGAAAGCCCCCGGCUCAACCGGGGAGGGUCAUUGGAAACUGGGAGACUUGAGUGCAGAAGAGGAGAGUGGAAUUCCAUGUGUAGCGGUGAAAUGCGUAGAUAUAUGGAGGAACACCAGUGGCGAAGGCGGCUCUCUGGUCUGUAACUGACGCUGAGGCUCGAAAGCGUGGGGAGCAAACAGGAUUAGAUACCCUGGUAGUCCACGCCGUAAACGAUGAGUGCUAAGUGUUGGAGGGUUUCCGCCCUUCAGUGCUGCAGCUAACGCAU
Molecule: ribosomal RNA, 637 nt
Filed under: Enterococcus faecium
Lineage: Bacteria; Bacillati; Bacillota; Bacilli; Lactobacillales; Enterococcaceae
Description: bacterial SSU rRNA
Rfam family: Bacterial small subunit ribosomal RNA
Source: RNAcentral